This 73-nucleotide transfer RNA is filed under the name Vulgatibacter incomptus. It matches the Rfam family "tRNA". From Rfam's summary of the family: Transfer RNA (tRNA) molecules are approximately 80 nucleotides in length. Their secondary structure includes four short double-helical elements and three loops (D, anti-codon, and T loops). Further hydrogen bonds mediate the characteristic L-shaped molecular structure. tRNAs have two regions of fundamental functional importance: the anti-codon, which is responsible for specific mRNA codon recognition, and the 3' end, to which the tRNAs corresponding amino acid is attached (by aminoacyl-tRNA synthetases). tRNAs cope with the degeneracy of the genetic code in two manners: having more than one tRNA (with a specific anti-codon) for a particular amino acid; and 'wobble' base-pairing, i.e. permitting non-standard base-pairing at the 3rd anti-codon position. Lineage: Bacteria; Pseudomonadati; Myxococcota; Myxococcia; Myxococcales; Vulgatibacteraceae. The record is from Rfam by way of RNAcentral.
UCCGCGGUAGCUCAGUCGGUAGAGCGGGUGACUGUUAAUCACCAUGUCCGAGGUUCGAGUCCUCGCCGCGGAG